GCCUACGGGGCGCAGCAGUGGGGAAUAUUGCGCAAUGGGGGCAACCCUGACGCAGCAACGCCGCGUGAUUGAAGAAGGCUUUCGGAUUGUAAACCUCUGUCCUCUGUGAAGAUGAUGACGGUAGCAGAGGAGGAAGCUCCGGCUAACUACGUGCCAGCAGCCACGGUAAUACGUAGGGAGCGAGCGUUGUCCGGAUUUACUGGGUGUAAAGGGUGCGUAGGCGGCUUGGCAAGUCAGUAGUGAAAUCCAUGGGCUUAACCCAUGAACUGCUAUUGAAACUGUCGAGCUUGAGUGAAGUAGAGGUA
This 305-nucleotide ribosomal RNA is filed under the name uncultured bacterium. Its description in RNAcentral is "bacterial SSU rRNA". It matches the Rfam family "Bacterial small subunit ribosomal RNA", at positions 337 to 659 of the family's 1533-position model. The record is from RNAcentral.